GAAGUCAUCGUCGAUCAACGAGAUGGUU
This 28-nucleotide small RNA is filed under the name Bombyx mori (domestic silkworm). RNAcentral describes it as "ovarian small RNA-15266". The record is from RNAcentral. Lineage: Eukaryota; Metazoa; Arthropoda; Insecta; Lepidoptera; Bombycidae.